This 661-nucleotide ribosomal RNA is filed under the name uncultured Agrobacterium sp. RNAcentral describes it as "bacterial SSU rRNA". It matches the Rfam family "Bacterial small subunit ribosomal RNA", at positions 53 to 762 of the family's 1533-position model. The record is from RNAcentral. Lineage: Bacteria; Pseudomonadati; Pseudomonadota; Alphaproteobacteria; Hyphomicrobiales; Rhizobiaceae.
ACAUGCAAGUCGAACGCCCCGCAAGGGAGUGGCAGACGGGUGAGUAACGCGUGGGAACAUACCCUUUCCUGCGGAAUAGCUCCGGGAAACUGGAAUUAAUACCGCAUAGCGCCCUACGGGGGAAAGAUUUAUCGGGGAAGGAUUGGCCCGCGUUGGAUUAGCUAGUUGGUGGGGUAAAGGCCUACCAAGGCGACGAUCCAUAGCUGGUCUGAGAGGAUGAUCAGCCACAUUGGGACUGAGACACGGCCCAAACUCCUACGGGAGGCAGCAGUGGGGAAUAUUGGACAAUGGGCGCAAGCCUGAUCCAGCCAUGCCGCGUGAGUGAUGAAGGCCUUAGGGUUGUAAAGCUCUUUCACCGAUGAAGAUAAUGACGGUAGUCGGAGAAGAAGCCCCGGCUAACUUCGUGCCAGCAGCCGCGGUAAUACGAAGGGGGCUAGCGUUGUUCGGAAUUACUGGGCGUAAAGCGCACGUAGGCGGAUAUUUAAGUCAGGGGUGAAAUCCCGCAGCUCAACUGCGGAACUGCCUUUGAUACUGGGUAUCUUGAGUAUGGAAGAGGUAAGUGGAAUUCCGAGUGUAGAGGUGAAAUUCGUAGAUAUUCGGAGGAACACCAGUGGCGAAGGCGGCUUACUGGUCCAUUACUGACGCUGAGGUGCGAAAGCGU